CCUACGGGGGGCAGCAGUGAGGAAUAUUGGUCAAUGGCCGCAGGGCUGAACCAGCCAAGCCGCGUGAGGGAAGACGGUCCUAUGGAUUGUAAACCGCUUUUGUAAGGGAGCAAAGGGCGCUACGUGUGGCGUUUUGCGAGUACCGGAAGAAUAAGCAUCGGCUAACUCCGUGCCAGCAGCCGCGGUAAUACGGAGGAUGCGAGCGUUAUCCGGAUUUAUUGGUUUUAAAGGGUGCGAAGGCGGAGGGUAAAGUCAGCGGUAAAAUUACGGGGCUCAACCCCGUCGUGCCGUUGAAACUGGCCGUCUAGAGAGUACUAGAAGUAGGCGGAAUGUGUGGUGUAGCGGUGAAAUGCAUAGAGAUCACACAGAACACCGAUUGCGAAGGCAGCUUACCAGCGCACAUCUGACGUUGAUGCACGAAAGCGUGGGUAGCGAACAGGAUUAGAUACCCGAGUAGUC
This 459-nucleotide ribosomal RNA is filed under the name uncultured bacterium. RNAcentral's name for it is "partial 16S ribosomal RNA". It matches the Rfam family "Bacterial small subunit ribosomal RNA", at positions 338 to 795 of the family's 1533-position model. The record is from RNAcentral.